GCCAAAGUGGCGGAAUUGGUAGACGCAGCGGAUUCAAAAUCCGCCGCUAGAAAUAGCGUAUGGGUUCGAGCCCCAUCUUUGGUACCA
Molecule: transfer RNA, 87 nt
Filed under: Candidatus Anaerobiospirillum pullicola
Lineage: Bacteria; Pseudomonadati; Pseudomonadota; Gammaproteobacteria; Aeromonadales; Succinivibrionaceae
Description: tRNA-Leu
Rfam family: tRNA
About the family: Transfer RNA (tRNA) molecules are approximately 80 nucleotides in length.
Source: RNAcentral